ACGGUAGAGGGGGCAACCCCUUGAGAGUGGCGAACGGGUGAGUAAUAUAUCGGAACGUGCCCAGUCGUGGGGGAUAACGUAGCGAAAGUUACGCUAAUACCGCAUACGAUCUACGGAUGAAAGCGGGGGACUCGCAAGAGCCUCGCGCGAUUGGAGCGGCCGAUAUCAGAUUAGGUAGUUGGUGGGGUAAAGGCUCACCAAGCCAACGAUCUGUAGCUGGUCUGAGAGGACGACCAGCCACACUGGAACUGAGACACGGUCCAGACUCCUACGGGAGGCAGCAGUGGGGAAUUUUGGACAAUGGACGCAAGUCUGAUCCAGCCAUUCCGCGUGCAGGAUGAAGGCCCUCGGGUUGUAAACUGCUUUUGUACGGAACGAAAAGGUUUCUAUUAAUACUAGGAGCUCAUGACGGUACCGUAAGAAUAAGCACCGGCUAACUACGUGCCAGCAGCCGCGGUAAUACGUAGGGUGCAAGCGUUAAUCGGAAUUACUGGGCGUAAAGCGUGCGCAGGCGGUUAUGUAAGACAGAGGUGAAAUCCCCGGGCUCAACCUGGGAACUGCCUUUGUGACUGCAUAGCUAGAGUACGGUAGAGGGGGAUGGAAUUCCGCGUGUAGCAGUGAAAUGCGUAGAUAUGCGGAGGAACACCGAUGGCGAAGGCAAUCCCCUGGACCUGUACUGACGCUCAUGCACGAAAGCGUGGGGAGCAAACAGGAUUAGAUACCCUGGUAGUCCACGCCCUAAACGAUGUCAACUGGUUGUUGGGUCUUCACUGACUCAGUAACGAAGCUAACGCGUGAAGUUGACCGCCUG
This 811-nucleotide ribosomal RNA is filed under the name uncultured beta proteobacterium. RNAcentral's name for it is "bacterial SSU rRNA". It matches the Rfam family "Bacterial small subunit ribosomal RNA", at positions 66 to 875 of the family's 1533-position model. Lineage: Bacteria; Pseudomonadati; Pseudomonadota; Betaproteobacteria. The record is from RNAcentral.